CCUACGGGAGGCUGCAGUGGGGAAUAUUGGACAAUGGGGGCAACCCUGAUCCAGCCAUGCCGCGUGUGUGAAGAAGGCCUUCGGGUUGUAAAGCACUUUAAGUGGGGAGGAAGGCUCGCUGGUUAAUAGUCAGCGGGAGUGACGUUACCCACAGAAUAAGCACCGGCAAACUCCGUGCCAGCAGCCGCGGUAAUACGGAGGGUGCGAGCGUUAAGCGGAAUUAGUGGGCGUGAAGAGCCCGUAGGCGGUUCCCUGGGCUCAGCCUGGGGGCUGCAUUCGAUACUGGCAGACUUGAAUACGGUAGAGGGGGGUGGAAUUCCAGGUGUAGCGGUGAAAUGCGUAGAGAUCUGGAGGAACACCAGUGGCGAAGGCGGCCCCCUGGACCGAUAUUGACGCUGAGGUGCGAAAGCGUGGGGAGCAAACAGGAUUAGAUACCCCUGUAGUC
RNAcentral lists this ribosomal RNA (445 nucleotides) under uncultured bacterium. Its description in RNAcentral is "partial 16S ribosomal RNA". It matches the Rfam family "Bacterial small subunit ribosomal RNA", at positions 338 to 795 of the family's 1533-position model. The record is from RNAcentral.